RNAcentral lists this long non-coding RNA (3235 nucleotides) under Nicotiana tabacum (common tobacco). RNAcentral's name for it is "long non-coding RNA (NTAB_LNC010023)". Lineage: Eukaryota; Viridiplantae; Streptophyta; Magnoliopsida; Solanales; Solanaceae. The record is from RNAcentral.
CCAAACAGCGGAACAUUGUUCUUCUUCUCCAACAAGCCGAAUCCGUUCCCAAAACUCGCCAAAAUUCAGGCGAGUGAAACCCAAACUCGCACCACGCGUUUUACCUUCUCUCCUCUUGCCAUAGCGUAACCGUUUCUGACAGAUUUCCUCUCCUUCACAUGCUCUAUUUGAUUUAUUUCGGAUUUUUCACCCUUCAGAUGGAAAUGAGGAAAAAUGGGGAGCGUCAGAUCAAAUUCGAGUUGAUCUACUCCCUCCAUUUGUCCCUUUUUCAUCAGAAAAAGGGUGAAAAUCAGUUUGGGGAGAGUAUUUCUUGGCUCGGAAGAUUUCUUGAAAAGGGGAGUAGAAGCUUCGAGAUCUUUGGGAAGUCUAUAUAAGGUGAAGACCUUUUCUUGUGUAGAGGGUUUUUUUUUUCAGAGAUGGAGGGAAUUUUAGAGAGCAGUUUCUGGAGAAAUUGAGAGGGGAAAAACUAGGGUUCUAAAAUAUUCUUCUUCUUCUUUUCUAUUGUGGCUCUCCAUUUUUAGUCUCAGAUCAGAAAAAUACAAAAAUUUACUAAAAUAUGUGUUAUUUUUAGUUUGACAUUCACAUCUCUGUUUUCUGCAUCUUUAAUACGGAGGCUUCACUGUUGCUAUGGAACUGGGUUGAGUUUGGAAGUCGGAGCUGAUUCGAGUACAUCAGACUUGUUGUUAAGGCUCAGAUUUCAUUAGUUGAUUUUCAUUUCAAGCUUGUUGAUUAGCUUGCUACUGUUGUAUCUCAUUCAAACUUCAAGAAACAGUUGAUAAUUUUUUCUCAGGUGAGUUGCUUUUAUGAUUGAAACAAUUAUUUGCAACGAUUCAUGUUUAUGUCGCUAAUUAAGGAAUGAUUGUUUGUAAUGUGACCGUAUAAGUUCAAGGAUCUUCUCGUUUGUAGCAAUCAUUCCAUUUUGAGCUAAGACUCGGACAGAAUGACAUUUUGUUUUUCACUUUUCUUGUUCUAGUUUUCUUAACGGGGUCAUGUCAAAUGGAAGACUAAAACCUCUGUCAAAGUUAUUUUUUCCUUAGUCAAGUUGUUUUGAUAGUUCUAACAUGAGUUGCAUUUAUUUGACUGUUAAUUUCAUGGAUUUAGGUCUCACCUCACAGUUCUACUUUUCCUUGCUCUUUUCUUUUUCCUUUUCUCAUAUAAAUGGUCCAAUUUAUUUGUCCAUCUUGCUCUAACUAUUGUUCUGUAAGUGAGUAUUUUCGUGGUUGUUUGUGUGGUAGUAGUAAUUGCUAAAGGAUAGAACAGCAGACAUAGGCAAAGAGAAGGAGUUGUUUUCUCUGUUUUUUUUAACGAGGUUUUGGACUCCUUGAAUGAGAAGUCGAAUUUGCCAUGUUAGUCCUGAUUACAAUGCCAUGCCUAUAUAUUUUGUCUCUUAGGAAAUUUGUGUGAAAGGCAAUGUAUUCUCAUGUGGCUUAGUAAAUUCAAAUUGAUUUCCAUGUUGUUCAUCGGCACUGUUUGCCAUUUGUAUUGUCCCUUUUUUCCUUUAAUUCAUCGACUGCAUUUUCAAGAAUUGCUAGUUUGUUAACUAGUCAUGGGAAUUUUGAGCUUUGGUUUUUGGCUGACCGUAUAUUCGGAUUUAAGGGAAUUAAGAAGGCUAUGUUCGUAUUUUGUCCUUGCAGUAUGAAAUCACUGCAUCAUCUUCUGGCUUGAAACAUGUGAUCCAUGAACUUAUUGUUCUUUUAGAAUCUCUGUUUGAAUUCUGACUUGGAUUGUAUAAGAGUAGAAUGCACGGUGACGUUUUCGUUUUUGGUAAAUAAUGGAUCUUGAGUAAAGACAUUAAAGUUUUUUUUUUUUGGGAUAUAAGUGCAUAUUUUCUUUAUGAAUUUCCUAAUUGCUUCCUUCCUUUAGCUAGUUAGUUAGCUACAUGGCGUGGUUGGCUUCCUUGAAACUGAAAGGGAAUUUCAAGAAUUAUCCUGCAAUCAUCAAAGGGCAUGGGCGGAACAAGUUAAUUUGUCAGGCCCAAUGAUCUCAAUGAGUAGAUCAAGAAUUGGCCUGCUCAUCCUUAACAACUAAAUGCCUCAUAAUUUUAAAGAUAGAGUAGUGAGAUACAAACACCUUUAACAUGUGGAUAAUUUGUCACUACCCUAACUAGGGCUGUGCAUUUGGAUCGGAUAUCCGAAAUCCGAUCCGACAUACUCUAUUUCGGAUUUUCGGAUUGGAUACGGAUUAUGUUUUAUAAAAUUUCGGAUUUUCGGAUUGGAUUCAGAUUGGCAUGAUUUUAAUCCGAUCCGAAAUCCGAAAUUAUAUGGGCCUAUAUAUAAAUAGUUAAAUUCUUUAGGGUUAAAUAACUUAACCCGGUUAAGUUAGUAUACUAUACUAAUAGUACUAUACUACCCUAAAUACUAUUCCUAUUUCCUACCCUAAAUCUUCUUUUCCGCCUUUUUCACUUAGGAGUUAGGGCUGUUCGUUCACCACUAAGUCCGCCUCUCUUCUUCAGAGUUCAUAGUGACCAGUCCAGGGUUCCGCCUCUCUUCUUCAGUGUUCAUACUGUUCCGCGGUUCCGCCUCUCUUCUUCAGAGUUCAGUCGCCUUAGCUUCCGCGGUUCCGCCUCUCUUCUUCUUCACUCUUUAUCUCAGUGACUCAGUAGUCAGUCCUCUCGGUCUCGAAGUCUCAACUAUCAAGCCAGUAAAGUAAUCUUCUUCUUCACUAUUAGUUACUAUUGUUUCAUAGUUCAUACUGUUUUUUCAAUUUUUAUGUAUGUAUCGAUUUGUCUUUAUGUUCUGUUUUUUAUCUCUUUCAUUUUCUAUUCUGAUUUUAUUACAACAUCUAUUUCUGAUUUUAUUUAGGUUUUUUUCUAUUACAACAUCUAUUUCUGAUUUUAUUUAGGUUUUUUUGUUUGUUUUGGACCUUUGGUAGAUGGAAAACGAAACAGAGACAGUGAAUGAACCUUUGGUACAACAUCUAUUUCUGACUGUUGCGGCUUCCCAAAACAUGGAACUUGGAACUCUUUUGUUAUGUGUAAUAUUUUAAAGAACUGUUGGGACUUUAGUAGUUUGGUUUGUUUUAUUUUGCUAUGAAAAUUUGGUUUGAAAGACAAUUGAUUGUGUUUUGUUUUGGGGUCUUCAGUUUGGUUUACUGUCCAGUUGUGUAAAUUUCAGAUUGUUGUUUUGUUUUGUUAAGUUCGAACAUUGUUACUAGGACUGUGCAUUUUUGAACUUAGUUGCAUUAUUAAUUUUUAUGAGUACUUAGUUCAGUCAGUACUCAGUUGUGUACUGUAAAG